CCUCUCCACAGAUAUUGGCGUCUAUGGGGACGGCAAUAUCCGCGUGGUCCUAGCACCAACUCUAGGCUAAAGUUGGUGCUGGCCGCACUCGGAACCUCCGGACGGAAAACUUCAGAGAGUUUGAACCAGCAAGUGAGAACCCGGCCGUACAACACAGAGAUCCGCUCCAACACUACCAUAUAUGUGUGAAAAGAUAUAACUCACCGCUUUGCAGAUUUUGCCCUUACUGUAUCCGCAGUCAACUCCUUGUCUUCAUUGUUAAUCUGAACGCUUUUAUCCACAGCUCGGAUCGAGCACCAAGAUCUGGCUGAGGCUCCGAUGUGGAGACUGAGCUCAGCUUUUGGGCUGGCUUCUGUCCGGGCAAACUUCAACCAGGCCUGCCAGAGAAGAAGACAACAGGCAUGAAGGGUGAUUAACCAACCGCAUCGAGCCUGGCUAUUUCUUCACAUGACCAUGAUCGGAACCUCCAACAGUGAGCGGACACAGAGGAGAGAGCGCUUCAGUACACCGUUUUUUUCUCCCUGAGAACUAGUGUCUCGGGAACCUUUACCAUCUCUGUGAUGUAUUAAGGAAUAAAGAAAUCAUCUUUUGUUACGGUUUACCUGAGCUGGUAUUGCCUACCUGUGGCCUCUGACACAGACGCACUUAUCUCAACACUGUAAGAAAUAUAACUAGGAUUUCUGAGUUGCAACUCAUUCCCAUCUACCAUAGUCUGGAAGCAGCCGGUG
Hyla sarda is the source of this 728-nucleotide long non-coding RNA. RefSeq lists it as uncharacterized. The transcript has 4 exons. The record is from RefSeq and is a predicted model, not a curated record. Lineage: Eukaryota; Metazoa; Chordata; Amphibia; Anura; Hylidae.